RNAcentral lists this long non-coding RNA (640 nucleotides) under Mustela putorius furo (domestic ferret). RNAcentral's name for it is "lncRNA (ENSMPUG00000024951.1)". Lineage: Eukaryota; Metazoa; Chordata; Mammalia; Carnivora; Mustelidae. The record is from RNAcentral.
GGAUUCUUUCCAGACCUUCCCUAAGAUGCUAUAUGUGGACACCUGCAAAUCAAUGUGGUGAGCAUUGUGUACCUACUUCAAGGCCCAAAGAGUCAUGGGGAUAGGAACAUGGAGAGCUUCAUCUGAGCUUCCAGGAUGUCAUCAGGGCCCUAAGGCCCAAGAAUGAAAUGCUGCCAUAUAGACAUCUGUGAUUUUAUCAAUAAAUGCAAAGAUGUCAGCAAGAAGAAAAAUGUGUUGAUCGUGCCAGACCUACCCCUGAAGCCUGCAAGUCAGAAUCACUAUCAUGGAUGGAUUCAGCAUGGGGUUGCUGGCCCUUGGCCUCAGCUUCCUCACAUGAAGACUGAGGAGGACAGGCUGGCAGGAAGAAGGGAAGAGAAGAGAGAGCGAUGAGAAAGAAAGAGCAAUAGGUUUUGAAAGCUUGCAAGUCAUCAUGAGAGAGCUAGAUACUGCUCUGCAUGGUAUGCUAUUUACUACUUAGAACACAAUUUUAAAAUGGACAUUCUGGGGACAUCUGGGUGGCUCAGUCUGUUAAGCAUCUUAUUCCGGCUCGGGUCAUGAUCUCAUGGUCUUGGGAUUGAGCCCCAAGUCAGGAUCCUUGCUCAGCGGGGAGUCUGCCUGCAUGCCCUCCCCUGACUCAGGC